AUGAACGCUGGCGGCGUGUCUAAGGCAUGCAAGUCGUGUGGACCUUCGGGUCCACGGCAGACGGGAGCGUAACACAUUGGUAACUUACCCCUAAGAGGGGGAUACCCCUCUGAAAAGAGGACUAAUACCCCAUGUGCUGUGAACUAAUAUUGGUACACAGUAAAGGGCAACCACUUAGGGAAAGGCCUAUGUCUUAUCAGCUAGUUGGUGGGGUAAUGGCUCACCAAGGCUAUGACGAGUACCGGGUGUGAGAGCACGGCCCGGCUCAAUGGGACUGAGACACUGCCCAUACUUCUACGGAAGGCUGCAGUUAAGAAUAUUCCACAAUGGCAGAAAGGCUGAUGGAGCGACGCCGCGUGCAGGAAGAAGCCCUUCGGGGUGUAAACUGCUUUUUUUAGGGAAGAACAAAUGACGGUACCUAAAGAAUAAGGGGCUGCUAACUUCGU
Molecule: ribosomal RNA, 446 nt
Filed under: uncultured bacterium
Lineage: Bacteria
Description: bacterial SSU rRNA
Rfam family: Bacterial small subunit ribosomal RNA
Source: RNAcentral